This is a non-coding RNA of Styela clava, 2867 nucleotides long. NCBI's taxonomy places the organism in Eukaryota, Metazoa, Chordata, Ascidiacea, Stolidobranchia, Styelidae. The record is from RefSeq and is a predicted model, not a curated record.
GUGGCGUAGGUGCGGCUGCAGAUUUCAGGUUUUAGCUAGCGCUAGUGUAAAGUAAAACAGUUCUGGAAGCGAAAGUUUAGGGGAGUCAUAAGUAUAUACAUAUGUGUGUCAACCCAAUGUAUAGAGUGGGCCAAAAGUUGUUCUACAAUUAAUAAAAAGUGAUUUUGACCCACGCUGUAUCCUAGAAUUGCUAUUUCAUGCUUUUUUGUUAUUUUGGGUCAGGAAGCGAAAGUCUAGAAGGUUUAGAUUAUAGCCUUAUAUAUUCAUAGGUGUGUGUGUAUUACCUUAAUAUACAGGGUGCGCCAAUGGGGGUUGACAGCCAUCGAAAAGGUGUUUUUGGCCCGUCCUGUGGAUUUGUUGUUUCGUGCAUUUUUUACGUUAUUUGGGUUUCAUUGACUAUAAAUGGUCAAUUCAUUUAUUUCGAUUCGUUUGAAUUUGUGUUAUCGGAUUUUCUCGUUGCAUAAUUGAUGUUUUCUCAAGGGUCUAAUUAUGCAUGAGGAGAAGAUCGCGUCCAUCGUUCUCGUCGCAAGCAACACUUGUUAGAAUAUUUUCAUAAAAACAUUGGUCUCCAAUGCCGAUGCCAGCCCAAGAGAAAUGAUUUGCCACAAUAUGCCAAUUCGGCACGGACUCAAAACAACAAAUCUGCAAAAUAUAUGAAAUUACAGAUGCUGGAGCCAGUUAAAGAGAAAUGAUUUGCCAUAAUAUGCGCGUGAACAUUCGGUAGGAUUUGUGAAAAUGCAAAAUGUAUGAGCCUGGCAAAUCAUGAAAAUGUCAGUUGACUUUCAGAACAUUCAAAUUGAAAACAAAUGCUGCCAGAAGUAAAGUGUUUUCAGUCGUACAAGUUCAAGCCACCCAACCCGUGAAAUAGAUGAAAUUACAAAUGCUGGAGCCAGCCCAAAAGAAAUGAUUUUCCACAUUAUGAUGAAUGCGUCUGUCAGAUUGUCAUACAAGUUCAAAGCAACCUGCGUAAUAUAUAAAAUUAGAUGCUGGAGCCAGCCCAAGAGAAAUGAUUUUCCACAAUAUGAUGAAUGCGUCUAGCAGAUUGGUAAGAUUUGUAAUAAUUUCAGAUGCUGGAGCCAGCCCAGGAGAAAGGAUUUGCCACAAUAUGAUGCGACUGUCAAUUGUUAUGGUUUGUAGGAAUGCCAGGCAAGGAUUCAAACCAACCAGUUUGUCAAAUAUAUAAGCUUCGUUCGCGCUGCUGCUUUUGUGUUCACCGGAACGUGGAAUUGACGUAAAUGAAUGUCAUGGAUUUAGGACUGGCGUACCGAACGAAUAUUCCAACAGAAGCAACGGACGAAACCACGAAUAUGCAAGAAUGGAAAUCUCGUUCAAAAAUAAUAAAUAACAUGACAGAGGAUGGUUGUUAGGUACGAUUGGGUUACUGAUCUAGUUUUUCUCAUUUAAGACGAAAUUACGGAACGCAGGUAUCCCGGACGAAUUUUCCGAAUGGAGCGACGAUAGUAGCCCACGAAUCGGCGUGAGUGAUUAUCUCAUUCGUGCAGACAUCUGAAGAUGCUAUAAUCAACAGUGAGAAAUGUAAAGGCAGGCGUGUCUCUAGUUAGUCCAAAGGGGCAGUCGCCCCGGGCAGCACGGUAUUUAUAAGGGUUAUUCUUUGCCUCCAUAAUUAUGUGAAAGAUGAAAACGAAGAUAGAUUUGAACCAGACUAAAAUUUAAUACAAAUUAUUGCUAAUUCUGAUUAACAUAAUUAUCGGGUGUUCUAAUUUAUAUACACCCCUCCUUCAUGUCCUGCGAACUUUUAAAACUGCUGCUGGUCUAAUUAAUGACAUUGCAAUCGAAUAUUGCACUGAAAAAUCACCGUUUCAGAUACUUUUGCUGUCCAAGGCACCCCGGGGUUUUAGUCCUUUGGGUUAGGCAGAUUUUCUAGUCCACUGGUUCUCGACCUUUUUCUUCCGUGGCCCAUUUUCGUCCCAACAAAAAUUCUGUGGCCCGAUAACUUUGUAAAAAAAAAACUGAAACCAUCUUCCCACAAAAUGGGCACGGUAAUGAUUAGAAUGAAAAUUACCUACCCGAAUCGUCAUUCUUUGCUGCAACAAUCGGAACUAACUGUAGUGACGCAAUUGAAACUAGCAAUUUUUAAUAGACCUGUGAUCCAGCAGUGGGCCAUGGCCUACCGAUUGAGAACCAGUUUUCUGGUCUAAAACCAUCAUCUUGGCUGACCAGUGUUAAAAGACUCUAUUCAUCGACUCUACUAGCCGACUAAAUUUACCCAAUAUGAGUCUUCUUGAAUAAAUUGAUCACGUCAACUAAAUGCUGGUAAAACUCAGAAGUAACUGGACGCUCUUUGACCUGCGGCUCGCGAUUAAUAGCUUAAAUUGCACUUCCCCAUGAUUUUCUCUGGGCACGGUACUGAUUGCGUGUCCUAUAGGUAUGUCACAAGAAUGCUUUAAUGAAAAGGUAUUCUAAUGAUAAAUUUAAGGAGAAAGGGUAAUAAGGUGAAAAUGCCGUUUUAGAUUGUCACCAACACAACUUGCAGAUAUAUCAAGCGAGCAUUGUGGUAUUUUCCCUCCCAUAUCCAUAUUUUUCCCGCAAAUACGACGCGGGCCACGGGUAAUGAAGCGGUGGGCGAGGGUAUGGAGCACCCUGAUUUAAGUGUAAAGCGUUUUCUUAUCCACUUGUUGCAAAUGUUGAAUCAGCGUGAGUGAAUCAAGGUAGUGUCUAAAAAAUUUUCUUCAGUCUGCGGAUAAUGCCCUUUCACUCUAAAAAUAGUGUUUAUUCUUAACCAAAAUGAUGCUUUUUUAUAAUUUGAGCAAAUGCUUAUCUAGAGCGAAGAUGGUGCUUAUUCAUAAAAUAUUGCUUAUUCACUAAUAUUUAGAAGUUAUGUGCAAAUAAACUGGCAAAGUGCAUUA